This 468-nucleotide ribosomal RNA is filed under the name uncultured bacterium. RNAcentral describes it as "partial 16S ribosomal RNA". It matches the Rfam family "Bacterial small subunit ribosomal RNA", at positions 28 to 507 of the family's 1533-position model. The record is from RNAcentral.
GACGAACGCUGGCGGCGUGCUUAACACAUGCAAGUCGAACGGAAAGGCCCUGCUUUUGUGGGGUGCUCGAGUGGCGAACGGGUGAGUAACACGUGAGUAACCUGCCCUUGACUUUGGGAUAACUUCAGGAAACUGGGGCUAAUACCGGAUAGGCGCUCCUGCUGCAUGGUGGGGGUUGGAAAGUUUCGGCGGUUGGGGAUGGACUCGCGGCUUAUCAGCUUGUUGGUGGGGUAGUGGCUUACCAAGGCUUUGACGGGUAGCCGGCCUGAGAGGGUGACCGGCCACAUUGGGACUGAGAUACGGCCCAGACGCCUACGGGAGGCAGCAGUGGGGAAUAGUGCACAAUGGGCGGAAGCCUGAUGCAGCAACGCCGCGUGCGGGAUGACGGCCUUCGGGUUGUAAACCGCUUUCGCCUGUGACGAAGCGUGAGUGACGGUAAUGGGUAAAGAAGCACCGGCUAACUACGUG